GUAAGUGCAUUUUUCAAGGGAGAUGCGACAGAAAAUGUUAAGAACUCCUCCUCUAGUACAUUUCUCUCAUCUUUCCCCACAUCCUUGUUUUACAAAAGGGGAUACUGAGGCCCAGAGAGGAGCCAUGGCUUGCCCAAAGUUCCACAGCAAUUCAGGGUGAGAACGACUGGUCCAAGCAGGGGUGAACUCUUUCCAAGGUGCCCAGGGCAGCCAGCCACUGAGGAAACAUCCACAGGCCUGCGGCUGGAGAUUGAACAGGGCCGCAUUCACGCUUCCAGGUGCCUCCUGCCCUGCUGUGGCCCUGUGGGCACCAGUGAUUUAUGCUUUAUCCGGGAGGCCUCUGGGCUGCAGGCAGCAGGAUGGGCUGCCUCCCGACUGUCAAAGGAAGAAACUGAGGAUCAGAGAAGUCAAGAAAUUUGGACAAAGCCCCCUAGCAGGAAAAGUGGUGGAGCUGGAACUGGAGCUGAGAUUUAAGUGUCUUGACUCCCUGGAUUUCCCGGGAUGACCCUGAAUCUGCAGGCCCAUAAUCAUCUCUGAUUCUCUUUGCUGGGCUCCACCACACCAGUGGGAAGAUGAUAGAGAUCUUCAGGGACCUGGAGAAGAGGGAAGCAACACAGCAGGACCUAUCUUUAAUCCAGCAACAGGUUCCAGAAUGUUCCAGGAGGGAGACUCUAAAUGCUUGGAAUUUCCAGACUAAGAGGAGUGUGUGUGUGUUGUUCAUGAGCCCCUUGGGUCACUCCUGAGUUUGUGCUAAAAGGUGAGAUGACUCAGGAUGGUGGCUGUCACCAGAGAGAACAACCAUGUGACCGGAAGGUUGGGGCCUCGACGCCCCCAGGCCCCCACACCAAACUCCAAGCAGAGGAGAAGCCUGGAGGUUGAGUCCAGUCAUGUGGCCAAUGGUUCAGUCAGUCACGCCUGUGUGAUGGAACCCCAAUAAAAACUGUGGACGCUGAGGCUCAGGACAGCUUCCUGGUCGGUGAACUCCCUGAUGCGCCAGGAGGAUGACGUGCCCGGAUUCCACGGACGAAAGGGCUUGGAAGCUGUGAGCUCAGGACCGUCCCAGACCUCAUCCUGUGUAUCUCUUCAUUUGGCUGGUCCUGAUUUUAUCCUUUAUAAUAAAACCAUAAUCAUACACAUAGUGCUUUCCUGAGUCCUAUGGUGUGUUCUGGCCAGUUAUCAAACCUGAGGGGGUCAUGGGAACCCCUGAAUUAGUAGCCAGUUGGUCAUAAGUGUAGGGACCCCUGAACUUGCAGCUUUGUCUGAAGUGAGGGCCCUCUUUUUGGGAGGGUGCCCCUUGACCUUUGGAGUCUG
Molecule: long non-coding RNA, 1311 nt
Filed under: Equus caballus (horse)
Lineage: Eukaryota; Metazoa; Chordata; Mammalia; Perissodactyla; Equidae
Description: lncRNA (ENSECAG00000044549.1)
Source: RNAcentral